UUCGCCCCCUUCCCCCGAAGGUACAGCUGCCCGGCUGCUGUUCUUAAAAGGAAGGGAUGCCUUUGCCUCAUCCGGAGGAUCUGAGAGGCCUUUUACCAGGGACCAGAUUUUGGCCACAGCAUCAUGCAGAUGGGAGGGAAAAAAGAAGAUAAAGCUCUAAGCAACCCUGGAGCCAGAGAGGAAAAGAUGAAGAGGCAAAGAAAGAAGAAAAGGACAUCUUAAACGAGGAUGAUGAAAAAACAAGAUGACAAGAUACGAACAGGAUUUAGAGCAGGUUUAUCUGUAAAAACUGGGCUUGAGUAACACAAUAUCAUUCAAUUUUGUAUAAUCCUACAGUGUGUUCCCAAGUUCCUGACUGUGAGCAUGUGAAAGAAAUUAAAUUGAUGAAUUAGUA
This is a long non-coding RNA of Carlito syrichta (Philippine tarsier), 394 nucleotides long. RefSeq lists it as uncharacterized. NCBI's taxonomy places the organism in Eukaryota, Metazoa, Chordata, Mammalia, Primates, Tarsiidae. The transcript has 2 exons. The record is from RefSeq and is a predicted model, not a curated record.